RNAcentral lists this long non-coding RNA (2016 nucleotides) under Homo sapiens (human). Its description in RNAcentral is "non-protein coding lnc-MTRR-16:2". The record is from RNAcentral. Lineage: Eukaryota; Metazoa; Chordata; Mammalia; Primates; Hominidae.
CUUGGCCUCCCAAAGUGCUAGGAUUACAGGCAUGAGCCCCUGCGCCUGGCCUGCUAUGUGUAUAUUAAUGUGUGGUCUUGAUCUUGAACUGAGGCUCUGAAAGGGUAUGACAAAUACUGACGGCCAUCUGCCAACUACAGAGCUGUGAACUGUUCACUCAUUAACAGUUUAUAAACAACAAGAUAACAUCCUCCAACUUAUCUUCCUGCUCUAGCAGAGGUGGGCAGUGAGGAUAACUGUUCAGGUCCCCUCUUUGGAGGUCUGGUGUCAUGAGCAUGAGCCCUCCUGCAGGGCACUCCAGGACAGCUCUCCCUGUGCCCACGGACAGACCACCUCAGGGGCUGCCAUCUAAGCUUCAGAUGGUGCGGAGCUCUGAGUGUGUGUGUGAGUUUAAGUAUGUGUGAGUAUGUAUGAGUGUGUGUAUGAGUUUCUGAGUAUGUGUAUGUGUGAAAGAGAGAAAGAAAGCAGCAGCAACUGAGAAAGAGAGAGAGAGAGUGACUCUCUAGUCAUCAGCUGUGAUGGUGAAAUUUAUGUGUCAAGUUGACUGGAUUGAAAGAUGCCCAGAAAACUGGUAAACUUUAUUUCUGGGUUGUGAACGUGUCUCUGGAAGAGAUGGGCACUGGAAUCAGUGGACUGAGUAAGGAAGAUCCACUCUCACCUGUCAUUCAUAAGAGCAGGCAUCAUCCAGUCCCUGGAGGAAUCCAGUAGAUCAAAAAGGUGGAGAAAAGGCAAAUUUACUCUCUCUUCUUCACCUGGGACACCCAUCUUUUUCCCUCAGAUAUUGGCACUUCUGGGUUCUGGGCCUUCGGGUUUGGAUUUGAACUACACCACUCACUUUCCUGAGCCCCCAGCUUGCAGGUUGCAUACUAUUGGGCUUCUCAGCCUCCAUAAUCAUGUGAGCCUAUUCUUCAAAGUAACUCUCUUCCUUUCUAUCUGUCUAUCUAUCUACUUACCUACCUAUCAAUCUAUGUAUCUAUCUAUCUACUUACUGACCUACAUAUCAAUCUAAUGAUCUAUCAAUCUAUUAAUCUAUCUUUAUCUAUCAAUCUAUCAUCUAUCUACUUCCUACCCAUCAAUCUAUUAAUCUAUGUAUCUACUUAUCUACCUACUUAUCAAUCUAUUGAUCUAUCAAUCUAUUAAUCUAUCUCUGUCUGUCUAUUGAUCGAUCUAUCUACCUACCUAUCUACAUCCUAUUGGUUCUGUUUCUCUGGAGAACUCUGACUGAGACAUCAUCAAUGUCUAGUUGAUUUUGUCUAAUAAACAGCUUCCCUUCAGUUUUGGCUCCACUCUGUCUUCAAUUUCUGGCCCAAGUUUCCCUAGGCCCCAACAUAAAAGAAUAUUAUUGACCCAAUUGACCCACUGUGAUAAUUUGUUUAAUAUAUUCAACAAUUUGUUGAAAUAAUAAAAGUAAUAACACUCACUGAUCUACUGAUUUGAACUGCUAACCUUACCAGACAUGUGCCAUGGCUUGUCUAUCCUCCUAGAUGUUGUGUAAAAGCAUUUGAGAAAAUAAUGUAUAAAAAUCACACAGGAAAUGUCAUCAGCUAUUUAUUACUAAACUUUGUUCAGGUUAGAUGUUUAUCGUAGUUCACAAUGCUGAUUUGAACAAAAAGGCAUCCAAGCCAAUAGAAUGAAAUUUAAUUUGUUAAAGUAAGAUGCUUUAUUCUUAAGUAUUUAUAUUUAAUAUGCCCCAUGGAAUUUUGAACUUAAAUUUGGUGAUGGUAAAACAUAAGUCACUUUAGAUGUCAACAUUUUCUGGAAGAAGAGUGCCAAGCAUGAUUGCCCAUGUCACUUGGUGUUAGGUGACAUUUUUGUUCCAGCAGGUGGUGCCAUCAGAGCAUGAAGGAAACUCCAUUUUAAAAGGAACUUAGGCAGUGGGGACUCUUAGAGUCAUCGGAGGCAAGAGAAAAUGUCCCAGAGCUUCUGUGGGUCUGAAGGUUCAUGUUUUAAAUGUUCCUAUUGUAGAUUUUAAGAAAGUAUGUAAUUCAAAAUUUUUUAACUUGUAUUUUAAGUUAG